UAACACCAGCCAAGGUUUCAUAGCAAGGUUUUAGCAGCACUAGGUAACAAGACUGCACAAAAAGGAAGUCCAAUAUCACAGGUGUUACUAUUAACUUUAACAAUGGCUCUGUAUCCAAGUAAGCCAUGACAGUGUGACAGUGAGCCAGCAUGAACAAUACCAGGACCCUGAAACUGAUGCAGCUAAAUGGAAUUCAGCCAUCAGUCAUUUUAUUAUUUACACUUGUGCUUUUCCUGCCGUGACAACAUGUCUUCUGUGAAAUACGCCUGUAAGGAUUUGCAAAUGUUUUGUGCAUAGUAACUAUUUUCCAAAGGCUAGUGAGUAGAUUAUAAGAUACUUUAGUAUUUUUUUUAUUUUGUGAGAUUUUAUAUUUUUGCUUGAUCAUUAUCAUUAUAAGGAACUGUUGUACUUUUAUUUUGUUACAUUUAUCUGAUGGCUUUAGUUGUGACUUACCUUGAAACAUUGAAAUUUAUCAUAUGUAAGAUAUUUUUAGUUUUUAUUCCUGACAUAUUUUUACCACUAUACUUUUUUUUUAUAUUACAAUUUAUUUUUUUUAUUCUUGUAUAUUUCUAUGAUAUCACUUCGUUAAAUUGUUGUUGUUUUUUCCACAAAUAACAGAGCAUGGGACAAAUAGUGUUUUGAGUUA
Long non-coding RNA from Sebastes umbrosus (honeycomb rockfish), 646 nucleotides. RefSeq lists it as uncharacterized. The transcript has 2 exons. NCBI's taxonomy places the organism in Eukaryota, Metazoa, Chordata, Actinopteri, Perciformes, Sebastidae. The record is from RefSeq and is a predicted model, not a curated record.